Molecule: unclassified non-coding RNA, 314 nt
Filed under: plant metagenome
Description: partial contains 5.8S ribosomal RNA, internal transcribed spacer 2, and large subunit ribosomal RNA
Rfam family: 5.8S ribosomal RNA (bases 1-105)
Source: RNAcentral
GAAAUGCGAUAAUUAAUGUGAAUUGCAGAAUUCAGUGAAGCAUCGAGUCUUUGAACGCACAUUGCGCCCCCUGGUAUUCCGGGGGGCAUGCCUGUCCGAGCGUCAUUGCUGCCCUCAAGCACGGCUUGUGUGUUGGGCUUCCGUCCCUGGCAACGGGGACGGGCCCAAAAGGCAGUGGCGGCACCAUGUCUGGUCCUCGAGCGUAUGGGGCUUUGUCACCCGCUCCCGUAGGUCCAGCUGGCAGCUAGCCUCGCAACCAAUCUUUUUAACCAGGUUGACCUCGGAUCAGGUAGGGAUACCCGCUGAACUUAAGC